This 583-nucleotide long non-coding RNA is filed under the name Homo sapiens (human). RNAcentral's name for it is "non-protein coding lnc-SLC5A10-3:1". The stretch from base 1 to 217 matches the Rfam family "Small nucleolar RNA U3". Lineage: Eukaryota; Metazoa; Chordata; Mammalia; Primates; Hominidae. The record is from RNAcentral.
AAGACUAUACUUUCAGGGAUCAUUUCUAUAGUGUGUUACUAGAGAAGUUUCUCUGAACGUGUAGAGCACCGAAAACCCCGAGGAAGAGAGGUAGCGUUUUCUCCUGAGCGUGAAGCCGGCUUUCUGGCGUUGCUUGGCUGCAACUGCCGUCAGCCAUUGAUGAUCGUUCUUCUCUCCGUAUUGGGGAGUGAGAGGGAGAGAACGCGGUCUGAGUGGUUUUUCCUUCUUGAUGGCUCAAUGACAGAGACUAGCUCGUAAACUCCGGGCCGUUUCCGGGCUGUUCGCUCCUGCUUGGCAAUGUCGCGAGAAAGGUUUUCGCCUCCUGUUUCAGCGGUGACGGCUUUUGGGUUUUCCUCGGGGUGGCUUUUUAAUUUUAGUCUUGGCGCGAGGCGGGGGAUGCUGUGUGGCACCUCCUAUUGUCUCUUUUUGCGUUUUCUCCCAUUCUCGCUCCCUCUUUUGUCGCCGUUUCCCGCCCGCCACUCCCACCCCCAGACGGGGUCUCCGGGUCUCUUGUUCUGUCUGCCGGCCCCGGCUGGAGUGCAGUGGCGCGAUCUCGGCUCCUAGCAACAUCUGCCUCCCGGGC